GCGGGUGUCGUAUAACGGCUAUUAUGGGACUUUUCCAAAGUCCAGACGAGGGUUCGACUCCCUUCACCCGCUCCA
This 75-nucleotide transfer RNA is filed under the name Candidatus Nealsonbacteria bacterium RBG_13_42_11. Its description in RNAcentral is "tRNA-Gly". It matches the Rfam family "tRNA". From Rfam's summary of the family: Transfer RNA (tRNA) molecules are approximately 80 nucleotides in length. The record is from RNAcentral. Lineage: Bacteria; Candidatus Nealsoniibacteriota.